CAGUAGCCGCGGGAAUACGAAGGGGGCAAGCGUUGUUCGGAAUUAUUGGGCGUAAAGGGUGCGUAGGCGGUUUGAUGAGUCUUGUGUGAAAUCUAUGGGCUCAACCCAUAGUCUGCACAGGAAACUGUCGGGCUUGAGAGUGGGAGAGGUGAGUGGAAUUUCCGGUGUAGCGGUGAAAUGCGUAGAUAUCGGAAGGAACACCAACGGCGAAAGCACUCUGCUGGGCCGACACUGACACUGAGAGACGAAAGCUAGGGGAGCAAAUGGGAUUAGAUACCCCCGUAGUCCCUGUCUCUUAUAC
Molecule: ribosomal RNA, 301 nt
Filed under: uncultured bacterium
Lineage: Bacteria
Description: partial 16S ribosomal RNA
Rfam family: Bacterial small subunit ribosomal RNA
Source: RNAcentral